This 355-nucleotide long non-coding RNA is filed under the name Solanum tuberosum (potato). RNAcentral's name for it is "long non-coding RNA (STUB_LNC006648)". The record is from RNAcentral. Lineage: Eukaryota; Viridiplantae; Streptophyta; Magnoliopsida; Solanales; Solanaceae.
GGAACGGGGAGAUAACAAGUUCAAGAAGCCAGUGGGUGACGGCAAAAGAUACUGAGAAGUAGGUGAAGGCAAAGGAGGAGGCCCAUUUAUUCCCGGAGAAGGAAGAGGUGGAGGAGGACCAUUCAUUCUAGGAGAUGGGAGAAGAGGUGGCCCAUUCAUUCUAGGAGAUAGAAGACGUGGAGGAGGACCAUUCAUCCGAGCAAAUGGGAGAGGAGGCGGGCCAUUCAUUCUAGGAGAUGGAAAAGGUGGCAUUGAAGGAUUAGGAAGCAAACCAGAUGAUGCUGGAUGUGCUUGAAAAUGACCAGGACCUUGAAAUUGUGUUAGUUUAGGCCCUGAAUCUAUUAUUGAAUUUUGA